ACAAAGCGAAGCAUUGAAUUGCAAUCUCUCUCUCGUGACAUGACAUCAUGGUAUUUAAGUUGUAAAUUAAUUCUUGUCACGCGACACAGACAACAAUCGUGUCUUUAAUUCUCGAGUUCGAAAUUCUCGCGAAAAAUACAAAUUAUAUAAAUUUAACAUUUUAUUUUAAUCUUAGAUUUAUAGGUUAUAAUUAAAUAAUUACGAACGAAAGAAAGAAUGUAUUUUAUUAAAAAUUAUGGAGAAAACCGAUUUAAACGGUUUUUAAAUAGAUUCCUUUCAAUUUAGUUACAAAGCUCGCCAAUUUACAUAGUAAUGUAUCGAUUUGCAUAAUUCACACUGUUGUAUAACACUAGAGUGUGGUGUAUGUGCAUCACCUAUGCGUUAUAUAUUGACGAUAUAUUUUCGAGGUAAAAAUUUGUCAGAAAUUUCCCAGAAAUAAUCCAGGAUGUAGCAUCCUAACUGCACCAUUAAUAUACAAACCGAUUUCGCAAGAAAGCGUGGUCCAAACGUGGCCGAUGGCCGUGGACCAAAAUAAAUUUGUUUCGAGAGCACUCGCCGGCCGCAUGGUUUUCUCUUCUUUCUUUUAUAUUUUUCUUUCCUCUUAAACAAUUCCAGAUUCAUUGUUUGUUUAUCAUUCAUUCUUAGACUUUAUUAUAUUUUCUUAGGUUUUAUUCCUAUUUUUUAACUACUAUUGUAUAAAUCAGUGAUCGAUAUAUAAUAUUUAAAGACGAAACAAAUGUCAGUCUAGGUUUCAUUUCUAUAGCUAUGUUUAUAAACGCAUGUCUGAAUGCGCAUAAACAUUCGCAGUCUAGUAAUUAAAUAUAGGUAUUUUGUUUACCAUUUAAUGAUCUAGAAUCUAAGAAGAUCAAUCGGUAAGUCAUUUACAAUAAUAAAACGCCAUUGAACUAGUGCGACAUCUACAUUAUCCCGAUUUAUGAAACAACUUUCUUAUAACUCAAAAGCAUCUCUCCUUAUGCAUUUCAAAAUAAUUAAAUUCCGUGUUAGAAGGAAUGUUAAAACCCUCAAAGCAUGGUUUCAAGCGCUAGGAAUGGAAAAUUACAAAAAUAAUAUUUGACUAUUGUUUCCUAGACACCAUAAUAUCGCUAACAUUAUAUGUUUCUUAAAUAGCUUUCUUUGUAAGCUUCCAAAUAGCUUUCUUGCUUUUGUCUCGUGAAGAACUUGUCUGAUUGAACUUCUGAAAUGCAUGUGCGAUACGUUAUCAUAUUUUGUAAACGGCUUCUCCUGCAAAUACAACUUGCAUAGUGCUGCUACCAGCGUGUACUAAGGUAGAAUUUCAAACUAAGAAAUAACGAACUGUUCGUGCAUCGACAAAUUCUUCAUACAACGAGCUCAUCCAAGCGUUACCUUGGAGGCUGCCCAAGCGUUAGGUUACACUGUUACACCAAUUUUCAUGAGCAAUCUCGCGUGAGACACGCGAGUUCUUUGCCAUUUACGAACUAUGAUGGAUACGUACAAUGACACUAAAAAGUAUGUGUACGUAUUGGGUUGUAACAUAAGUAAGUUCGGAUAAACUCAAUAUAUUUAUUGACCGAACUUAUUUAUGUUACAAUCCAAUACUAUUAACGAACACGUGCAUUUAUAUAAGAAAUAGAGAGAUAAAGAUUAAAAAUAUGGAAAAAGCUGAAAAUAAAAGAAGUUGAAUCCUAUAAUCAUUGAGAGUUCGGGAAAACAAGGAGAAAAGCAAGCAAUCAUCGAUCUUCGGUAUAAACGUGGCUGACGUUAUGAGCCACGUUAAGAGCAAACAAUUUAUUAUGCAAACUGUGGCUAGGUCUCGAUUACGCGAUAUAUCGAGAACGAUUAGCAAGCCGAAAAUACGUCGGAUGACCCGAUCGAUCAGAGAACAAUUUGUAUCAAUGAAAAGAAGAUUAUCUUGACGGGUGGUUAUCUCGACGACCAUAAGAGGUCUUCUCAGAUGCGACAGGAGAAUCUCGCUAGCGUAGUUGCUGACACAGAUCGGCACAAAGCGGCGGGGCUUCCUUUAUCCAAUUACCAGACAAGCUUUCUUUUUAUUAUCCGGCCGGCCCUUUCUCAUACUGUAAAAUAUGUACGACUGACACUUGAUACACAUUGACUGCAAUCUGUACAAGACGACGAAUAGCAACGCGACAUUGAAACUGGACUAUCUUAAUGAAUUCUCAUCCCUUAACUACAAAUCUUUUUUUCAAUUUUAUGGAUGAAGACUUGGAAGAAUGUAAAUUUAGCAAGAAUGCAUAUUAAAAUGUAGUUCUAGGAUUUGCUUUACUUUCCUAAUUUUCUAUUUUGAAUUAUUUAAACGGAAUAAAAGAUGAAUGACCAUAGAAAACAAUUGCAUAGUUGAAGAGACGUGUUCCAGCUUUCUAAUAGAUCGAUUAAAUUUCUCAUAUCGUGUUAUAUUUUUAGAUGUAAUGGAAAAUGAAUGGUCAUAAAAGAAUUACAGCAAAUGCAGAAAUGUGCCUAGAUAACCGAGUUAGUUAAUGUAUGUACAUCGAAUAUACAUUAGCAAACAGAUAUAUAUUUAAUUGUAAAGUAAUGGUUUAACGGAUCGCGAGAAAACUAACUUCCUGUCGUCUUUACUUCAGGACUUAAUCAUUCUUAAUAAGAGGAUACUUGGAUCGGAUAUAAAUAACCUGUUUCCCGUCAUCACAUGUGACCAUAUCAGUCAUAUAACGUCAUUUCAGUCAGUCAUAUCAGUCAUCUGCUGAAUAAAUGUUUAAAAAAAGAAGAGAAUGAUAAGAUUAUUAAUUCUCUAUUAUUCCUGAUAUAUCUAGUAUUUUCUAACUUAAUUUUUUCGACGAAUAAUGGCAAUAAAUCUCAUUUAACUUUUCAAUAUUCGCAUUCAUUGAAUCUCCUCUUGUUUCAGCUAUAAAUACCACCACCGAGAAUAAUCGCGAAAUUUUCACAAGGUCUUCAAGCGCUCGUGCACGCUACAUCUGUCGCGAUUCUCCAUCUUCUUUGUUGACACUCGCUCCGUCCACUACCAAUUGAUCAUCGUCAAUUCGAAAUAUGAAAGCACGCGUGAUCAUCAAAAGAAGCACGGUUUUGCAUCGUGACGCUGCUCGAUUGAGUGCACGUGGAAAAUUAGAUUGAAUAUCCCUGAGAAAGACCCUAUGAACCGCCUCAUCGAGUUGUAAUUAAAUGGUAACGGGUAUUUCGUAAGCUGUGCUCCCGGACCAAGGGCGCUCGCAUGAUCGACGAUCGUGAGAAAAGGCGCAGCGGAGAAAUCGUUUCCGUCCGUUUUUCCAACGCGCUUCACGGCCAAGAAUUAAUGAGACCCUCUGCACGCGCGGAUCUCGUGUCUGUGAAUGGAAUCUUCGUUGUGAAGUCAACGAUGGAUGAUAUUCUUUUUUCAACUAUCGGAUUUCUGCUAUCUACAGGGAUAUUUUCUCAGUAGCUACCACCUCGACAUUUUUAAGGAUUUGAAAGAUUUUUUAAUUUCAUGAUUGCAAUCUUUUACACGUAGUUUAUGAUUCGACUAUGGAUUUUUAAAUUUGCAAAGACCUAACGUACCGAAAGUACGUGAAACUUCCAACGCAAAAUUUUUUAUUACAGUAUUUAGAAGGUGAAUCAAAUUUAUGCCUAAGUCCCAUUUUUUUUUUCGUUACUUCCAUAAAAAUACGAAUUUACAUAAAAAUCCGCAGCCUAGUUAUAACUUUGAUAUAUACAGGGUGGUUGGUAACUAGUGGUACAAGCGGAAAGGGGGUGAUUCUACGCGAAAAAAGAAGUCGAAAAUAUAGAAUAAAAAUUUUUCGUUUGAGGCUUUGUUUUCGAGAAAAUCGACUUUGAAUUUUCGCUCGGUACGCGUGCACUUCAUCACGUCUCGUUAUAACGGAUCUCACUGUAGAUCGUUUUCUCGAUAGACAAAUUUAAAAAACAAAAUAAAAAAAAAAUUUUUAUUCUAUAUUUUCGACUUCUUUUUUCGCGUAGAAUCACCCCCUUUCCGCUUGUACCAGCAGUUACCAACCACCCUGUAUAUACAUAUAUUUUAUUGCAAUCGUUGAUUAAAGUUUCUUACACCAAGGAAUUAAGAAGGAUUCUGCAGAACCAAUCAGGAGUUUAAAUCAAUUUGUGAAGAUAUACGUCGGAGAUUGUUAAAGCAACUCUCACUUGAUGAACUUCUGAUCGCUCACGAAUGUGCCUUGCGCGUGCAAUCAUUCAUCAUUCCAGAUAUACACAGCAAUUACUUUUUGGAACGGAACGAAGGCAAGGUGUUUCAUAAGUGUAUUUUAAGGACUGCAUGGAAUUCAAAGAAUAAUCUCCCUCGUUUCAUUCUUUUUUUUUUUUUUAAAUUGCAGAGUUUCAGUAGCAACUACUGUAGACAUGUUAUUACGUAAAUCUUCUGCGAUGCAAACAACCAGGCAUUAAUUAUUGAUGAAUAGGAAUUUAAUGAAAACCAUGUUUAUGACGAUUAGAGAUCUCCUAUGAAUGACAAUAAAUACAGACCUAUUAAUUCUGUUAUGAAAGUUGAUUCGAUGAAAUUGAAGACAUACAUAUAAUUAAAAAGUUAUAUAACACGUAUUGUAUGAAAGUAUGCACUGUAUACCAAAAAUUAUAUUAUGAACUAGAUUGUACAUUGUACAGUAUACAAUAUACUGCUCUAAAGGCAUAUAUAUAUGUAUUAUAUACCAAACUAAAUACAUAGGAAGUAAUAUUUAUUUUUAUGAAAAUAAUGAAGAGAUUCUUAAUGUUUAGAAUCAAGUGUUUUGCGCGUUAAAACAUUGAAACUAUACAGAUACUUUCACCCUAGCGUUCAUUUAUGGAGCAGCAGUGUGAAAAGAGACGGGAGCUACAUUUUCAUACGUGCCAUGUGUCGACCAUAAUUAAAUCCUAAUUGCUGGAGCCAGACUUAAUUUGAUUUGACGCUAAAAAAAAAAAAAGAAAAAAAGAAAACCUGGAUAGUGUCGAUAACCGUACGUGUAAGGUCUUUGAUCUUGGUUGACAUAGUUUCCAUUGAAAUGUCGUGGAAUGCGUCACGCGUGUCUGCCGACACUUUUACAGAUUAAAAUAAGAAUUGUUGAGGCCAAACACCAUGAAUAAAUGCACAUAAAUUUUCCUUCGUUUAAAAGUAUCGUAUAUGUACACUUUAAUAUCUAUCAAUUGAUUUUGCAACUUAAUACAAUAUGAUUUUAAUUAAUGUGUGCUAAUGGACGUUAUAGCAAGCUUGUAACUAAUGUGGCGGAACACCUAUAACAUAAUUUAUAAGCAAGUGUAAUGAUUAAAAUACAAGGAACAUUUUAUUUUUGUUUACAUUAUUCCUUAUUUGUAAUUGAUCUGGUUUAUAAUACGAAGGAAAUCACAUUUGCUAUUGCAAAUAGAUUUGCUAUGCAAAUGGCAGCGGUCGAGGACAGAAAUAUUUCAGAGGAAUCCAUCUAAAAAUGUAUGGCACUCAAUGGGUCUAAUUAUAUGCAGACAGCUUGUCUCUCCCAAACGUUACACGAAUAUCCAAGCUUUCACUUGUGUUAUUUAAAUACCAGGAUCAUACUUUUCCAAGUUGCUAAAUCUGUUGACUCGCGAUUUUUUCCAUUAUUACCAAAACGAUUAUAUCACAUUCUUUGAAUUAAUUACUUAGAAAUUAGCGAGUUGCUUGCUGGUCAAUGUUUUCUGCUAGUCGGCUAAAAAUACUGCAAUCUCUGUAAACAUGUUAGAAAAUCCCUACAUAUACCGUAUGUGCAAUAGCAAAUGUGCUAUUGUGAAAUGUGUAUCAGCCAAACUUUAUCAAAACAAAUUUAUGUAAACAAAUAUACUGAAUGUGCAUCAUAAAACAAAAUAAGAUGCAAAUGUUUUUCAUUUGGUGAUUUAUUUCUAAUCUGGUACUCCUAGUUCCAAUAAAAGUGUGCAAGUAUCAGAUAAAUUUAGUUUAAAUGUUGCAUACAAGAAGAAAGAAUACUUCAGUUCCUGCUUCUGGGUAAAAGCAUACAGUGCUGGCUAUAAGUACCAGAACUCUUGCAGAACUCUUGCUUUCCAUUAUUUUUGUUUUCUAAAUAUUUUAUUAUAAUAAGAUAAUAAAAUCGCAAUAAUAUAAAUACAAUCUACGUUAUAAUGUAAAAUACUAAAUAUGGUAUUUGUCAAAGUAGAUACAACGAGUAGGUAUCCUGAUAUUUAUAGCUAAUAGUACGAUGCAAAUGUUUUAUAAUAAGACACCUAGCAAGACACCUCUUAUAAGAUAACUAUGAAAAGAUAGUAGCGUAAGAAUGCAUAGCGUACCUCGUGCACGUACGCAUACACUGUGAAACAGCAAUAAAAGGGGAAGGGAAAGAAUGCAACGUAUCUGUCUACGUGACCAAAUUAACAUUAAGCCCGAAACAAGCAGUCAUGUCGACGGAACAGGUAACAUAAUACCUACGAGCGAGCAGUGAACAAACGUUACGUCUUAUUAUCGACACUUUGUUGCAGAAAGUACUGUAAUCACUCUAACACGAUUACGCGUUAAUAAGCACGUUUUUUGCGGCAACCACCGGAUCCAUAGACGGAAAAACUGGUUUGAAACUGUGUUGUGGAUAUUCAUUGAGACACUCGGUUUCUUCUCGUCCUACUAUCGCCUUCUCCUGCCGUUGUCAUCGAGAAUUCAAAGAAUCGUGAAAGCAGAGAUACUGGUACGUGAUCGAAAUGCCAUAACUUUGGCACGAGACUCCUGGAUACCGGCAAAAUUCGUGACGGAACUCGGAUACAAGUCGAUCGAGCGUCUCCUCUAGGUUAUCGCACAUUUACUAAAUUCUGGUUCUUACUGGAAUUAUGUGGAGAAAUCCGGCCGGAUGUUUUCAACCAGCAUGUUUCAUCAAUAUUUAGAUUUGAAAGUGACAUUUUACAUAAAGAUUAGACCUUUCAGGCAAUUGCAUUCUAAUAAUCUAUUUAUUAAGUAAACGAUAGAUGUUUUUAUUUUUGGGGUUAGGUUGAGGUUAGGUUCUUAUUUUUGGUAAAACUGGUGAUAAAUUCUAGUCCAUUACGUAUUUUGUAAAAAAAAUUAUUAAGGAAAAUGUAUUUCUAUUAUUAAUUAUAAGACUGCGGACUUUUUUUAGCAUUUAUGGGAAAUUCUAAGGUGCAAAAAUGCACAGAAUGCAUAUAAUGUACAAAAAUAUGCAUCUGAAAUAUGGCACUGAAUACUGAGUAGCUAAAACAAUUUUCUAUCUGCGUUCCAUUUUUUAAUUAUAUGGACAGAGUAAUUGAGGAUUUUUCCAGAAAAUUCCAUAGAAAUGGAGAGUUAAGUAAAUUGCAUUAAAAAUGUUAGUUAUAGUUUUUAAUGUUAACUAAGUUUUAUUACAAGUUUAUUGUUUUUAUGUUUAGAAAAUAAAUGGAAAUCCAUAAUAAUUAAAUUAUUGGAUUAGAAAAUACAGACGUUUACUAUAGAUCUAUAAGCUCGAUUUUCAAAUUGUAGCUCCUUUUAACAACAGAAAUACAUUCAUCCUUUUCUAAAGUAGAAGUUUUCUUUAGAGCCCUACAAACGUUCGAUCCUGGAAAAGUUAAAUAAAGAAUAAUGAAUCUUUUAUGUAGACAGAAUUUUACAGAAAAAUCUGGUGUAUGCCAAUAACUCUGUUUGUCAUUGUACCUGACAUGAAGAUACCUCUAGUAACUUUUGCGAGCACAAUUUGCAGAAUGCAGGCUGUAGAAUGUUGAGUGUAGAAUGCAAAACGUGGAACGUGGAAUGUGAAAGAUGAAAUGACAAGAUACGGACUGCAGAAACAUUAAGGCUGUUGGAAAAUUCAUGUGGUCACGUAAAAUGCAUUUCUUAUUCGACACUAUAAAACUAAUUUCGACUGUUUCUUUUUUAAUGAAAAGAUUACUUAGCUGUAUAAAUAUAAAAUAAAAUGUUAAUAUGUACAUAGCAACCUUCGCGUGAGCAGCCAAAGUAAAUAACAUUUAUUUUCUUGUUAACGAUGCAAUCUCAGAAUUUUCUACUGGUCAUCUGUUUCUUGGUUUGUAAAUUCGAGAGUAAAGUUCCCACGGCACGAAACUAAAAAGUUGCAAAGAAUUGAAGAAGAAAAUAGAAAUAAAUCUUCUAAACUUAUCGUUUACCUAUAUUGCUGGUCUGUAAUAUUUUUUAAUUUUUUCAUAACCUAUCUUUCGCUCUAUAUUUUUAUUACGGUUAGGUAUUUUAUGUCUGAUCUUAAUAUUUUUAUUUCGAUUUAAAUUAUAAAAACGAGUAUCUAAAAUUUUGUUUGAAUAAUAAGAAAAAUAUAUUGCUAGAGAAGUUGAAAUAAUUGCUCUGUAAGACGAUUAAGGAAGUGUUUUACAACAUACCGUUAAUUAAUUGCAAAUUUAAUCCUCUCUCUAAUCGACAAAUAAUUUUGGCGCUAAUGUUCAUACAAACACUCCGAUGUCAUUUAAAUUUAAAUGAAUCGUGGAAUUCCUAACUGUUGUCAAGAACUUGUCCCAUUUCUAUUUUCUAACCUUCCAUAAAUUACAAACCACGAGGUUUCUUAGAUUAUUAGUAAAUACCUGUGGAAAACAUUAUUGUGGUAGAUCAACUGCCUAGUAUAAUUACCAUAUAGAUUCAAAAUAAAAAACUUUACUACAUUCUACACUAAUAUCCCGUCCUUUUCCCGGCAAAUGCUGAAUUAAAAAAAACUAAUUUCUUACGCAAAUGAAUAUCUUAAACUAUUCAAAUAGAAUGGAACGCAUAAAGAUCACAUUAAUAAAAUAGAAAUUAGCAUUGUCGUAAGUUCUAGAAUAGAAAAAGGGUUUAAAAUGGAUAAAUUGCACAAAACGUCCGCUAGGGGCGACAGUGGUAGUGAGCGGUUCCGAUCAAGAAAUAAUUACGUCAAACUCCAUUCAGACGCGUUUAGUACUUUACGUAACUUUCACUACCGCGUACAAAGCAGACGCGAGAAUGCAGCGAUAUUCUUAAACGUUUAAGAACCAUCCAAUCUGCGUCAUAUGUAAGAAAUAAUACGACAGAAGUAAAAAGCAUCUGCGUUAAGAAAACCGAUAUUUUUUACGGAAUAAUUGGAACACGGUCAUUCGACGAACCGAACGUUGGCAGAGAGCUGGGAUUCUUGCUCGUUUGUUCGUUGUUGUAAAUUUAGAUCCACGGUACGCCUGGUUCCACGAACGUACGCCUUACCAACGACGACAGAUGGAAACGAGAAGAAAGGAAAACAGCCUCCAGGCUAGCGAAUAUCCUCUGUCGCGCACGCGAUUAGUCGCAAAAGAUGAAUAAUCUCCUGAUAAGCCGAUAAGAAUAAAUAACGGACAUGAGAUUAAGACUACUGCUAUAGAACUAGAUAUAUUCGUGGCGAAAUAUCAAUAGUGACCGACGUCGUGAUAAUGUUUGUUCGAAUUUCCGAAUAGGAAAAAACACAUUUUCUCUUCCGGUAUAAAUUAUCCCCACCUUUGUGUGCUACUAUCAUGGUCCAGAUAAUGAAGAAUCGUGCCAGGAAUUUCAAGGGUUAAUCAAAAGAUUAACGUGGUACAUGGGAAGAUCGGACUGGCAGGUUUGUUGAGAAAUAGGGCGAAUGAUGGUCCAAAUGUCAUACGAGAAAUGAUAGACACCGUUUUAGAAAGCAAGAAGGAAGAGCAAGGAGAAGAAAUGAACUACAGAAACUGCGGAGAAAACGGGAAAAUUAGACACGUAAUGUCUCAUUUUGUCUUUGUCCAUACGCCAUUUGAGAUAAUCUCUUGUGGAAUUUAAAAUGAAUCGAUGUAAUAUUUACAUCGAGACAUUAUAUACAAAAAUUUAAUGAUAUAUGAAUUUAGCAACUUAAAAAUGAAUUUAUAUGCAUCGAGUAAUAGAUAAUAAUUAAGGAAUAAAUUAUUAUUACCGACAGUUCUUCCUCAAUUUAAUGGAAGAUACAAUACAAUCAUCAACAUGAUAAGUACAUAGCAAAUUAUUUCAAUCUAUUCCCCAUUCACAAUAAGAUAAACAAAGAAUAACUUCAUAAUUCCCAUAGUACAUAUCUUUAUACAAGAUCAUUCAAUUAUCUCCUACAACAACAAACUUCCUAGAACUCUUUAUUAUCUAGCACUAAAUGCGCAUUUGUUUUUAGUAAAUUUCAAAUGAGAAUUAAUAAACAUUGAAUAUUUCAUUUCCAUAAUUAUCUGUUAGAGUACACAGAUACAUAGAUAUGCAUGCAUACAUACAUACAUGCACAUAUAUAUGUCGAAGAAUGAAAGACAGCGGGAUUUCCCGUCCGGAAUGUUGGGACAAACCGUAAUACACUAGUCCAGACUUUUACUAUAGCCGCCCUUAAGUAAUAAAAAUAAGAAAUAGUCUUAAUGUUCCAAUCUGACUUUAUGACGAUGGGGUUGGGCUCGAACUGACAUGGCAGGUCAUCGGACAUAGCCACGGUCACGGGAGGGACAUGUACCUGACAGAGGUAUGAAAUGAUUAUAUGGCUCUCCUUAAAACAAAGAUUAACCCGAGAAGCGGGGACAGGAGUGUAUAAGGGCAGCCUCUUUUGGAUUGACAGAGUUAGAGUGAGAGUUAGAGCUAGUCAGUUAGUUAGUGAGUCGUUGGACAAAUUGCCGAUUGAGUCAUCGGGAAGUUACUCGAAUCGAGUAGCACGUUGAUACGAAUCCUCCCGUGGACCGUGGAUUCGUUAUCGAACCUGACUUCGUUGUCACCAUCAUCUCGACCAUCCUAUUACCAUUCCUCAUAGUCUCUUGUAACGUCCACAUUCGUACUGAUAAAUAUUGGCUACGUUCGCGACGAUAAAGUAAGACGGUAAAGGUUCGUCGAACGCCCCAAACUGCCAACCUGCCUCCGACAUAUAUAUCAAUGAAGAAGAAUGUUAAAAUAUAACGCCUAGAAAAUUUUGUCAGAUCUUGAUCUGCGCUUUCUAUAUUUUUGCUAGACCCAAAAUAUCCCUAUACAAUUGAAGGAAGAAAGAAGAAAUGACUUAGUACGAGCGUAGCGACCAAAUAGCACGCAUCACAUUGAUUCAUGCUAUCAAUUUUAGGUUUGUUUUUUACUUUCAUAUAGAGUUUAUUUAAUCUACAGCGUGUUUAAAAGUAUAUAAAGAUAUUUAUUAUGCACUGUAGUUUGUUCUGCGUCGUAUAUUUUGUAUUGCACAUUUUAUUUCAUAUAGUAUACUAUUAUUGCUGUGAUAUUGCAUUAUUAAUAGAUUGGUUAGCAUAUUUUCGCAUGUAUUAGAAAUUUAAAUUAAGUACAGGUACAGAGUACAUACAGCAUACAAAGAUAUACAAAAUAUCAAAAGUGAGGUUACAGUAUUUCAAGGAUAAAGUAAAUCGAUAUUUAAGUCCUAUUCAUUCAUAAAUCAGUCAUAUUCAUAAAUAUACAAUUUACUUGUACUCAUAGGAUAUUAACAUAAUUUGUAUAAUCAUCCUCGUGUUAAUAAAUAAACAAUAAUACCUAAUACAUACAUAUUCUCAACCAAUAAAUCUUUUAAAUAUUAAUUAAGUUGAUAAACCAGGCCACGAUCUUACAAUCUACACAAAGAAAGUAA
This is a long non-coding RNA of Bombus huntii, 11396 nucleotides long. RefSeq lists it as uncharacterized. Lineage: Eukaryota; Metazoa; Arthropoda; Insecta; Hymenoptera; Apidae. The record is from RefSeq and is a predicted model, not a curated record. The transcript has 3 exons.